This is a long non-coding RNA of Dromaius novaehollandiae (emu), 755 nucleotides long. Lineage: Eukaryota; Metazoa; Chordata; Aves; Casuariiformes; Dromaiidae. The record is from Ensembl.
CGGAGCAGCAGGAUGGGGCUGGCCGCCGCGUCGGCCGCCUGCCUGCGCCGGGGCGGCUGGUACUCGGCGCCGAGGCUGAGCAGGCUGUACACCUGCCCGUUGUUCUCCCACUGGAUCCGCUGCCUCCAGACGGCGGGCGGCGGCGGCGGGGGGUCGCGGCGCGGCGGCGGCGGCUGCUGGCAGCCGGCGGGCCGCAGGCAGCUCCAAUAGAUACACGCGUGGAGCUGGGCGAGCAGGAGCCCCGGCGGCGCGAAAUGCAUCUUCUUCUUCUUCCUCCCCGGUUUUGCCUGGAACAAUCAGUGACUAAGACUGAGGAAAAUGGAAAGCUUGAAAAUAAGGAAAAUACAACACUGAAGAAACAAGUCAACAGAAUCAAGCAGAUACUAAUUGAAGACUGGUCUUUAGGAGUAAGCACAGAAACUGUCUUGUGCUACUGGACUGACAAAAACACUGAUGUGUGUCAACAAACAGCAAAGAGAACCUCUUACUCUCCAGCAUCAUUUCCUAGACCAGGAAGUUUGGAUAUCCAAGCACGUAAAGACAAUCUGACCCUUUCCUCUCAUGGGGUCAUCAAGCAUGUUUGGAUGAAUCUGUGCUCCUGGCUGAGCUGUGGUUAUCACAUACGAACAUUUUCUCUGAACUGCUCAUCUGUUUUUGGGCAUAAGCUUUGGCACUUAAGCAGAGAAAUGGAGGGAUCUUUUACAUACAAAUUGAUUGAGCACAUAAACUUCCCUGCCAAAAAAGAAAUCAUGUAA